GGCUUGGUAAGCCGAGAUGGCCUAGCGGCAGCGGUCUUGAAAACCGAGGGUUCACGGAAGUGGACGUGUGAGUUCGAGUCUCACCCAAUCCGCCA
Molecule: transfer RNA, 95 nt
Filed under: Pseudomonas phage vB_PsyM_KIL1
Lineage: Duplodnaviria; Heunggongvirae; Uroviricota; Caudoviricetes; Vandenendeviridae
Also listed under: 3 other names
Description: tRNA-Ser
Rfam family: tRNA
About the family: Transfer RNA (tRNA) molecules are approximately 80 nucleotides in length.
Source: RNAcentral